CUGACCCAGCAUGCCGCGUGAAGGAUGAAGGCUUUCGGGAUGUAAACUUCGUAAGAAUGGGAAGAAUAAAUGACGGUACCAUUUGUAAGGUCCGGCUAACUACGUGCCAGCAGCCGCGGUAAUACAUAGGGACCAAGCGUUGUUCGGAUUUACUGGGCGUAAAGGGCGCGUAGGCGGCGUGACAAGUCAGUUGUGAAAUCUCCCAGCUUAACUCGGAACGGUCAACUGAUACUGUUGUGCUAGAGUACAGAAGGGGCAAUCGGAAUUCUUGGUGUAGCGGUGAAAUGCGUAGAUAUCACGAGGAACACCUGAGGUGAAGACGGGUUGCUGGGCUGAUACUGACGCUGAGGCGCGAAAGCUAGGGUAGCAAACGGGAUUAGAUACCCCGGUAGUCCUAGCCCUAAACGAUGAAUACUUGGUGUCUGGAAUAUUAUUUUUCCGGGUGCCGUCGCUAACGUUUUAAGUAUUCCGCCUGGGGAGUACGCACGCAAGUGUGAAACUCAAAGGAAUUGACGG
Molecule: ribosomal RNA, 516 nt
Filed under: uncultured Acidobacteriota bacterium
Lineage: Bacteria; Pseudomonadati; Acidobacteriota
Description: bacterial SSU rRNA
Rfam family: Bacterial small subunit ribosomal RNA
Source: RNAcentral